UCCUCCGUUGCACAAUUGGCUAGCGCAUCUGACUGUUAAUCAGGAGGCAAGGAAUAUAUUGCUGCUCCAAAUACAUUAUAAGUAAAAACGUUACUGACAUAUCACAAAGGUUGAAAGUUCAAGCUUUUCCGGGGGAG
Non-coding RNA from Conoideocrella luteorostrata, 137 nucleotides. The record is from the annotation of a GenBank genome assembly. Lineage: Eukaryota; Fungi; Ascomycota; Sordariomycetes; Hypocreales; Clavicipitaceae.